RNAcentral lists this unclassified non-coding RNA (153 nucleotides) under uncultured Helotiales. RNAcentral describes it as "sequence contains ITS2". The record is from RNAcentral. Lineage: Eukaryota; Fungi; Ascomycota; Leotiomycetes; Helotiales.
CACCCCCUCAAGCCUCAGCUUGGUGUUGGGCCGCGCCACUGCACUGGCGGGCCUUAAAAUCAGUGGCGGUGCCGUCGCGGCUCCAAGCGUAGUAGCAUCUCUCGCUCUGGAGACCCGGCGGUUGCUUGCCAGACAACCCCACCAUCUUUCAAU